RNAcentral lists this ribosomal RNA (976 nucleotides) under uncultured fungus. Its description in RNAcentral is "eukaryotic LSU rRNA". The stretch from base 453 to 976 matches the Rfam family "Eukaryotic large subunit ribosomal RNA", at positions 1 to 532 of the family's 3401-position model. Lineage: Eukaryota; Fungi. The record is from RNAcentral.
GGGUUUCGGCCUGGUUAUUCAUAACCCUUUGUUGUCCGACUCUGUUGCCUCCGGGGCGACCCUGCCUUCGGGCGGGGGCUCCGGGUGGACACUUCAAACUCUUGCGUAACUUUGCAGUCUGAGUAAACUUAAUUAAUAAAUUAAAACUUUUAACAACGGAUCUCUUGGUUCUGGCAUCGAUGAAGAACGCAGCGAAAUGCGAUAAGUAAUGUGAAUUGCAGAAUUCAGUGAAUCAUCGAAUCUUUGAACGCACAUUGCGCCCCCUGGUAUUCCGGGGGGCAUGCCUGUUCGAGCGUCAUUUCACCACUCAAGCCUCGCUUGGUAUUGGGCAACGCGGUCCGCCGCGUGCCUCAAAUCGUCCGGCUGGGUCUUCUGUCCCCUAAGCGUUGUGGAAACUAUUCGCUAAAGGGUGUUCGGGAGGCUACGCCGUAAAACAACCCCAUUUCUAAGGUUGACCUCGGAUCAGGUAGGGAUACCCGCUGAACUUAAGCAUAUCAAUAAGCGGAGGAAAAGAAACCAACAGGGAUUGCUCUAGUAACGGCGAGUGAAGCAGCAAUAGCUCAAAUUUGAAAUCUGGCGUCUUCGACGUCCGAGUUGUAAUUUGUAGAGGAUGCUUCUGAGUGGCCACCGACCUAAGUUCCUUGGAACAGGACGUCAUAGAGGGUGAGAAUCCCGUAUGCGGUCGGAAAGGCGCUCUAUACGUAGCUCCUUCGACGAGUCGAGUUGUUUGGGAAUGCAGCUCUAAAUGGGAGGUAAAUUUCUUCUAAAGCUAAAUAUUGGCCAGAGACCGAUAGCGCACAAGUAGAGUGAUCGAAAGAUGAAAAGCACUUUGGAAAGAGAGUUAAAAAGCACGUGAAAUUGUUAAAAGGGAAGGGAUUGCAACCAGACUUGCUCGCGGUGUUCCGCCGGUCUUCUGACCGGUCUACUCGCCGCGUUGCAGCCAGCAUCGUCUGGUGCCGCUGGAUAAGACUUGAGG